RNAcentral lists this ribosomal RNA (509 nucleotides) under Aplastodiscus arildae (Teresopolis treefrog). Its description in RNAcentral is "partial 16S ribosomal RNA". It matches the Rfam family "Bacterial large subunit ribosomal RNA", at positions 1922 to 2596 of the family's 2925-position model. The record is from RNAcentral. Lineage: Eukaryota; Metazoa; Chordata; Amphibia; Anura; Hylidae.
AUUCAACGGCCGCGGUAUCCUAACCGUGCGAAGGUAGCGUAAUCACUUGUUCUUUAAUUGAGGACUAGUAUGAAUGGCACCACGAGAGUUGAACUGUCUCCCUUUUUUAAUCAGUGAAACUAAUCCCCCCGUGAAGAAGCGGGAAUUUUUAUGUAAGACGAGAAGACCCUAUGGAGCUUUAAACUGACCACCACCUGCUGCCCUAUAAAUCUCACAUAAAGCAAAGUAGGAUGUUAACAUGUUUUCGAUUGGGGUGAUCACGGAGCAAAAAAUAACCUCCACGAUAGACAGGCCUAAACCCUGAGCAACAAGCCACAACUUUCAGCACUAUAAAAUUAAUAUUUCUUGACCCAAUAAUUUGAUCAACGAACCAAGUUACCCUAGGGAUAACAGCGCAAUCUACUUCAAGAGCCCCUAUCGACAAGUAGGUUUACGACCUCGAUGUUGGAUUAGGGUGUCCUAGUGGUGCAGCCGCUACUAAGGGUUCGUUUGUUCAACGAUUAAAACCC